UACAGAGGGUGCAAGCGUUGUUCGGAAUUACUGGGCGUAAAGCGCGUGUAGGCAGCAAUGUAAGUCGGAUGUGAAAGCCCUUGGCUCAACCAAGGAAGUGCAUCCGAUACUGCGUCGCUUGAGUGUCGGAGGGGUCGGCGGAAUUCCCGGUGUAGAGGUGAAAUUCGUAGAUAUCGGGAGGAACACCUGUGGCGAAGGCGGCCGACUGGACGAUAACUGACGCUGAGACGCGAAAGCGUGGGUAGCAAACAGG
This 253-nucleotide ribosomal RNA is filed under the name uncultured bacterium. RNAcentral's name for it is "partial 16S ribosomal RNA". It matches the Rfam family "Bacterial small subunit ribosomal RNA", at positions 524 to 776 of the family's 1533-position model. The record is from RNAcentral.